GAGCUGAGCAGUUCAACGGGGACAACCACACUACCUGUGCCUCUAAAAUUGAACUUCACUGUGAGAUCAAGAGCUUACGUUUUGGGAAAACUGGUUAAGCCAAAAUUCUACAAGAGAAUCGAAUGUGAUGUUACUUUUGAUACAAAGAAGCUCAAUGUUCCAAUGUCACUCAAGAAUUCUUGCACAUAUGAUUGAUUGAUGAUAUGAACAGAGCAGAGCAGCCGCAUCAAGAUGAUGAAUUUUACAUAUUUAAUUUCCCCUUUAAUUCAUUGUUUGUUUCUUUUCGUGGAAAUGAGAAACAGCUGAGCAGAGCGGGCGGCUUUGAAGAUGGGUGGGCAAGGGGCUUUUCACCUUUUGGUUUCCCAAGUGCCCGUAGAAUUUGAAAACAGGCUGGAGUGGAUUCGGUAGUGACUUGCGAGCGAUAACUUUUCUUUUGUUCACUUUACU
RNAcentral lists this unclassified non-coding RNA (447 nucleotides) under Hevea brasiliensis (rubber tree). Lineage: Eukaryota; Viridiplantae; Streptophyta; Magnoliopsida; Malpighiales; Euphorbiaceae. The record is from RNAcentral.